UGGGUUGUGGCUUAGUGGUAGAGCACUCGCCUAGCAUGUGUGAGGCACUGGGUUCAAUCCUCAGCACCACAU
Molecule: transfer RNA, 72 nt
Filed under: Ictidomys tridecemlineatus (thirteen-lined ground squirrel)
Lineage: Eukaryota; Metazoa; Chordata; Mammalia; Rodentia; Sciuridae
Description: Spermophilus tridecemlineatus (thirteen-lined ground squirrel) tRNA
Rfam family: tRNA
About the family: Transfer RNA (tRNA) molecules are approximately 80 nucleotides in length. Their secondary structure includes four short double-helical elements and three loops (D, anti-codon, and T loops). Further hydrogen bonds mediate the characteristic L-shaped molecular structure. tRNAs have two regions of fundamental functional importance: the anti-codon, which is responsible for specific mRNA codon recognition, and the 3' end, to which the tRNAs corresponding amino acid is attached (by aminoacyl-tRNA synthetases). tRNAs cope with the degeneracy of the genetic code in two manners: having more than one tRNA (with a specific anti-codon) for a particular amino acid; and 'wobble' base-pairing, i.e. permitting non-standard base-pairing at the 3rd anti-codon position.
Source: Rfam by way of RNAcentral